Molecule: ribosomal RNA, 484 nt
Filed under: uncultured bacterium
Lineage: Bacteria
Description: partial 16S ribosomal RNA
Rfam family: Bacterial small subunit ribosomal RNA
Source: RNAcentral
AUUGAACGCUGGCGGCAGGCCUAACACAUGCAAGUCGAGCGGAUGAAGGGAGCUUGCUCCUGGAUUCAGCGGCGGACGGGUGAGUAAUGCCUAGGAAUCUGCCUGGUAGUGGGGGAUGACGUCCGGAAACGGGCGCUAAUACCGCAUACGUCCUGAGGGUGAAAGUGGGGGAUCUUCGGACCUCACGCUAUCAGAUGAGCCUAGGUCGGAUUAGCUAGUUGGUGGGGUAAAGGCCUACCAAGGCGACGAUCCGUAGCUGGUCUGAGAGGAUGAUCAGUCACACUGGAACUGAGACACGGUCCAGACUCCUACGGGAGGCAGCAGUGGGGAAUAUUGGACAAUGGGCGAAAGCCUGAUCCAGCCAUGCCGCGUGUGUGAAGAAGGUCUUCGGAUUGUAAAGCACUUUAAGUUGGGAGGAAGGGAAGUAAGUUAAUACCUUGCUGUUUUGACGUUACCAACAGAAUAAGCACCGGCUAACUUCGUG